CAGUUAAAAUUAAUAACAAAGUAAUAGAUAUGAAAUUUUGAGAAUAAGGUAGUAAAUUGUGUUGCAUUUUCAUUAAACAAUGCUCCAGCAGUUGAAUGGAAAACAUAGGUAUAUUCCUAAAACAUGAUUUUAUGUCUAUUGUACAUGGAAUAAAACUGAUUAUUGUUAUUCAAACAGACUCAUAUGCAGGAGCAGAAUCAUUUGAUAAAUGGGACAUACCUAAUAAAUUGAGUCUGGGGGAAGGUGGUUUUUAUUAUUGAAUUGUAUUUAUAGCCGGGAAUUUCAAAAUUUUUCCUUGAGUGAUAAAAUCGUGUAUAUAAAUUAGCCCAAGUUUUAAAACAAUACGGUCCAUCAGUACAUUAUAUCAACAAUUUGCAAGUAUAAUUUUCUACACUACCAUUUACAUUUAAACAACAAUUUCAGAUUUAACAGCUAAUUACCACAGCGAACCAUUGCAUUUUAAUUACCUUAGAAAAAUGGGGUGAACUGUAUUAUCAGCUGAAACUUUUGAAAAUGAUGUAGUUGUACUUCCUUGUAGAAUUAAACUAUUAAAUGAUGAGGUAAGAGACGUGAUGGAGGAAAUGUGACGUGAAUUUGUUAUAUUUGAACCUAAUAGCUUUGUUGUGCGUAUGGGAGCAUUUACAUGAUGCGAGAAUAUCUCUGGUUGGAUACAUCUACGAAGGGUUGUACGGGAACUCAAACUCCAGCAUGCUUUUAAAGUGUUUGUAAACAUCGAUGCAGACAGAUAGUGUAACAGAGUCUGUAAAAGUGGUUUAGAAUUAAAGUGUUUAAAAAACAAGGGUUUACU
Non-coding RNA from Ciona intestinalis (vase tunicate), 808 nucleotides. Lineage: Eukaryota; Metazoa; Chordata; Ascidiacea; Phlebobranchia; Cionidae. The record is from RefSeq and is a predicted model, not a curated record.